CAGUCGCCGCGGUAACACGUAGGGGGCGAGCGUUGUCCGAAGUUACUGGGCGUAAAGCGCGUGUAGGCGGGUCUUUAAGUGAGGGGUGAAAGGUUUGGGCUUAACCCAGACACUGCCUUUCAUACUGGAGACCUUGAGUGCGGGAGAGGCGAGUGGAAUGGUCGGUGUAGCGGUGAAAUGCGUAGAUAUCGAUCGGAACACCCAUGGCGAAGGCAGCUCGCUGGCCUGUAGCUGACGCUGAGACGCGAAAGCGUGGGGAGCAAACAGGAUUAGAUACCCCCGUAGUCCCUGUCUCUUAUAC
RNAcentral lists this ribosomal RNA (301 nucleotides) under uncultured bacterium. RNAcentral describes it as "partial 16S ribosomal RNA". It matches the Rfam family "Bacterial small subunit ribosomal RNA", at positions 509 to 807 of the family's 1533-position model. The record is from RNAcentral.